RNAcentral lists this ribosomal RNA (246 nucleotides) under uncultured Anaerolineaceae bacterium. RNAcentral's name for it is "partial 16S ribosomal RNA". It matches the Rfam family "Bacterial small subunit ribosomal RNA", at positions 1138 to 1382 of the family's 1533-position model. The record is from RNAcentral. Lineage: Bacteria; Bacillati; Chloroflexota; Anaerolineae; Anaerolineales; Anaerolineaceae.
GUCACACAGGACUGCUGGUAUUAAAGCCGGAGGAAGGUGGGACGACGUCAAGUCAGCAUGACCUUUAUAUCCAGGGCUACACACACGCCACAAUGGUCAGUACAAUGGGUUGCCAAGCCGCGAGGCGGAGCCAAUCCUAAAAAGCUGGCCUCAGUUCAGAUUGCAGUCUGAAACUCGACUGCAUGAAGUCGGAGUUGCUAGUAAACGCAGGUCAGCUAUACUGCGUUGAAUACGUUCCCGGGGCUU